UCCUAGUUAACCUAGGCAGUCUCAUUAGAGUUCCCACCAUUACGUGUUGGCAACUAAUGACAAGGGUUGCGCUCGUUGCGGGACUUAACCCAACACCUCACGGCACGAGCUGACGACAGCCAUGCAGCACCUGUGCAUAGGCCCCGAAGGGAGAUGCCGUUUCUGGCACUGUCCUAUGCAUGUCAAGCCUGGGUAAGGUUCUUCGCGUUGCAUCGAAUUAAACCACAUGCUCCACUGCUUGUGCGGGUCCCCGUCAAUUCUUUUGAGUUUCACCCUUGCGAGCGUACUCCCCAGGCGGUAUACUUAACGCGUUGGCUACGGCACAACUGGGGUUGAAUCCAGCUACACCUAGUAUACAUAGUUUACGGCAAGGACUAC
RNAcentral lists this unclassified non-coding RNA (378 nucleotides) under uncultured Chlamydiales bacterium. RNAcentral's name for it is "contains 16S-23S intergenic spacer region". Lineage: Bacteria; Pseudomonadati; Chlamydiota; Chlamydiia; Chlamydiales. The record is from RNAcentral.